GCCAGGUGCAGUGGCACACACCUGUAAUCCCAGCAGCUUGGGAGGCUGAGGCAGGAGGAUCACCAGUUCAAAGCCAGCCUCAGCAACAGUGAGGUACUAAGGAAGUCAGUGAGACCUUGUCUCUA
RNAcentral lists this small RNA (125 nucleotides) under Marmota monax (woodchuck). The record is from RNAcentral. Lineage: Eukaryota; Metazoa; Chordata; Mammalia; Rodentia; Sciuridae.